RNAcentral lists this ribosomal RNA (446 nucleotides) under uncultured bacterium. RNAcentral describes it as "bacterial SSU rRNA". It matches the Rfam family "Bacterial small subunit ribosomal RNA", at positions 331 to 792 of the family's 1533-position model. The record is from RNAcentral.
CCAGACUCCUACGGGAGGCAGCAGUGGGGGAUAUUGCACAAUGGGGGAAACCCUGACCCAGCAACGCCGCGUGAAGGAAGAAGGCUUUCGGGUUGUAAACUUCUUUUGACAGGGAAGAGCAGAAGACGGUACCUGUCGAAUAAGCCACGGCUAACUACGUGCCAGUAGCCGCGGUAAUACGUAGGGGGCAAGCGUUAUCCGGAUUUACUGGGUGUAAAGGGAGCGUAGACGGUCCUGCAAGCCAGAUGUGAAAGCCCGGGGCUCAACCCCGGGACUGCAUUUGGAACUGUAAGGCUAGAGUGUCGGAGAGGCAGGCGGAAUUCCUAGUGUAGCGGUGAAAUGCGUAGAUAUUAGGAGGAACACCAGUGGCGAAGGCGGCCUGCUGGACGAUGACUGACGUUGAGGCUCGAAAGCGUGGGGAGCAAACAGGAUUAGAUACCCUAGUA